Molecule: transfer RNA, 67 nt
Filed under: Rattus norvegicus (Norway rat)
Lineage: Eukaryota; Metazoa; Chordata; Mammalia; Rodentia; Muridae
Rfam family: tRNA
About the family: Transfer RNA (tRNA) molecules are approximately 80 nucleotides in length.
Source: Rfam by way of RNAcentral
GGGGAUUUAGCUCAGUGGUAGAGCGUUUGCCUAGCAAGCACAAGUCCUGGGUUCAGCCCCCAGCUCA